Long non-coding RNA from Lemur catta (Ring-tailed lemur), 423 nucleotides. RefSeq lists it as uncharacterized. Lineage: Eukaryota; Metazoa; Chordata; Mammalia; Primates; Lemuridae. The record is from RefSeq and is a predicted model, not a curated record. The transcript has 3 exons.
AUGGGAGUGCUGCGUGGCGGCCGGCGCCCACGCAGGGGUAGCCGCUGCCGCCAGAGCCGCAGCCCCAGCAGUGCGAGGUCGUCGUCGUCGUCGUCGUCGUCGCCGCCGCUGCCAUGGCCCGCUGGACGCCGACCAGGAGGCAGAAGUACGCGUUUGGAAGAAAAGCAGCUGAUACAGCCCAGAAUUUGUGACCUAUUGGGAAAUCUUUGAGAAAAUUUGGAAAGUACAGCCUAGCAGGUGACAGCAGACGGAUCUGUCCAGGCCUGGGGCGGUGGUGAGGCGGGGAGGCGCCCGCGCAUGUGGGCGAAGCCGGCCAGAACUUGGCAGAAGAGACCCGGGUGCACAGGCGCGGCAGGGCUGCCCAGCGUGCUGCGUGGCGGCCGGCGCCCACGCAGGUGUAGCCGCUGCCGCCAGGGCCGCAGC